CCUACGGGAGACAGCAGUGAGGAAUAUUGGUCAAUGGACGAGAGUCUGAACCAGCCAAGUAGCGUGAAGGAUGACUGCCCUAUGGGUUGUAAACUUCUUUUAUAUGGGAAUAAAAUGUUCCACGUGUGGGAUUUUGUAUGUACCAUAUGAAUAAGGAUCGGCUAACUCCGUGCCAUCAGCCGCGGUAAUACGGAGGAUCCGAGCGUUAUCCGGAUUUAUUGGGUUUAAAGGGAGCGUAGGUGGAUUGUUAAGUCAGGUGUGAAAGUUUGCGGCUCAACCGUAAAAUUGCAGUUGAAACUGGCAGUCUUGAGUACAGUAGAGGUGGGCGGAAUUCGUGGUGUAGCGGUGAAAUGCUUAGAUAUCACGAAGAACUCCGAUUGCGAAGGCAGCUCACUGGACUGCAACUGACACUGAGGCUCGAAAGUGUGGGUAUCAAACAGGAUUAGAUACCCGAGUAGUC
Molecule: ribosomal RNA, 460 nt
Filed under: uncultured bacterium
Lineage: Bacteria
Description: partial 16S ribosomal RNA
Rfam family: Bacterial small subunit ribosomal RNA
Source: RNAcentral